Molecule: ribosomal RNA, 448 nt
Filed under: uncultured organism
Description: partial 16S ribosomal RNA
Rfam family: Bacterial small subunit ribosomal RNA
Source: RNAcentral
UACACUCCUACGGGAGGCAGCAGUGGGGAAUAUUGGACAAUGGGCGCAAGCCUGAUCCAGCCAUGCCGCGUGAGUGAUGAAGGCCCUAGGGUUGUAAAGCUCUUUCACCGGUGAAGAUAAUGACGGUAACCGGAGAAGAAGCCCCGGCUAACUUCGUGCCAGCAGCCGCGGUAAUACGAAGGGGGCUAGCGUUGUUCGGAUUUACUGGGCGUAAAGCGCACGUAGGCGGACUAUUAAGUCAGGGGUGAAAUCCCGGGGCUCAACCCCGGAACUGCCUUUGAUACUGGUAGUCUUGAGUUCGAGAGAGGUGAGUGGAAUUCCGAGUGUAGAGGUGAAAUUCGUAGAUAUUCGGAGGAACACCAGUGGCGAAGGCGGCUCACUGGCUCGAUACUGACGCUGAGGUGCGAAAGCGUGGGGAGCAAACAGGAUUAGAAACCCCGGUAGUCCC